RNAcentral lists this ribosomal RNA (372 nucleotides) under uncultured bacterium. Its description in RNAcentral is "bacterial SSU rRNA". It matches the Rfam family "Bacterial small subunit ribosomal RNA", at positions 524 to 898 of the family's 1533-position model. The record is from RNAcentral.
UACGGAGGAUCCAAGCGUUAUCCGGAAUCAUUGGGUUUAAAGGGUCCGUAGGCGGCUAUAUAAGUCAGCGGUGAAAGUUUUUGGCUUAACCAAAAAAUUGCCGUUGAUACUGUAUUGCUUGAAUUUUUGUGAAGUAACUAGAAUAUGUAGUGUAGCGGUGAAAUGCUUAGAUAUUACAUGGAAUACCAAUUGCGAAGGCAGGUUACUAACAAACGAUUGACGCUGAUGGACGAAAGCGUGGGUAGCGAACAGGAUUAGAUACCCUGGUAGUCCACGCCGUAAACGAUGGAUACUAGUUGUUGGAUUUUCGGAUUCAGUGACUAAGCGAAAGUGAUAAGUAUCCCACCUGGGGAGUACGAACGCAAGUUUGAA